GAGUGAUCGAAAGAUGAAAAGCACUUUGAAAAGAGAGUUAAACAGCACGUGAAAUUGUUGAAAGGGAAGCGCUUGCGACCAGACUCGCCCACGGGGUUCAGCCGGCAUUCGUGCCGGUGUACUUCCCCGCGGGCGGGCCAGCGUCGGUUUGGGCGGCCGGUCAAAGGCCCUCGGAAUGUAACGCCCCCCGGGGCGUCUUAUAGCCGAGGGUGCCAUGCGGCCAGCCCGGACCGAGGAACGCGCUUCGGCUCGGACGCUGGCAUAAUGGUCGUAAGCGACCC
This 281-nucleotide ribosomal RNA is filed under the name Penicillium simplicissimum. RNAcentral's name for it is "partial 28S ribosomal RNA". It matches the Rfam family "Eukaryotic large subunit ribosomal RNA", at positions 351 to 650 of the family's 3401-position model. Lineage: Eukaryota; Fungi; Ascomycota; Eurotiomycetes; Eurotiales; Aspergillaceae. The record is from RNAcentral.